UAUGUGAUCGUCUCUCGCAUAUCAAUAAGCGGAGGAAAAGAAACUAACAAGGAUUCCCCUAGUAACGGCGAGUGAAGCGGGAAGAGCUCAAAUUUGAAAUCUUAAAGGGUUUCCCUUUACGAAUUGUAGUUUAAAGAAGUGUUUUCUGUUGAGGUUUUGGUAAAAGUUCUUUGGAAUAGGACAUCAUAGAGGGUGAGAAUCCCGUAUUUGACCUUUACUUUCAACUUUGUGAUACACUUUCAAAGAGUCGGAUUGUUUGGGAAUGCAGUCCAAAAUGGGUGGUAAAUUUCAUCUAAAGCUAAAUAUUGGCGAGAGACCGAUAGCGAACAAGUACCGUGAGGGAGAGAUGAAAAGAACUUUGAAAAGAGAGUUAAACAGUACGUGAAAUUGUCAAAAGGGAAGCGUUUGACACCAGUGUUGUUUUUCUGAAAAUCAAUUAAAGAACUGUUUAUGCUAAGCUGUUUAGACUUUAUCAGCUAAUCUGUUUAGUUUUGAGCUUUUCUUUAAUGCACUUUUCAGUUAACAAGUCAACAUCAAUUUCUUUUGCUGUAAAAAAGCUUGAGGAAGGUGGCUUGAGAUUCGUCUUAAGUGUUUAUAGCCUCUUGCCUAUGCAGUCGGAGAGAUUGAGGUCUGCAGCGUAGAUCCUUCGGGGCUAAAUGCAUUUGUGCUAAGUUAUAGCAUUUUAUAGACAACUUGUUGACUAUGAUUUGUCUUGUAGCUUACUCGCUUAUGUUAUUUUACCUACGCUUAGGAUGUUGAUCUGUAGUGCGUGCGC
This 775-nucleotide ribosomal RNA is filed under the name uncultured Neocallimastigales. RNAcentral describes it as "partial large subunit ribosomal RNA". It matches the Rfam family "Eukaryotic large subunit ribosomal RNA", at positions 24 to 647 of the family's 3401-position model. The record is from RNAcentral. Lineage: Eukaryota; Fungi; Neocallimastigomycota; Neocallimastigomycetes; Neocallimastigales.